GACGAACGCUGGCGGCGUGCCUAAUACAUGCAAGUAGAACGCUGACUACUUUAGCUUGCUAGAGUAGAAGGAGUUGCGAACGGGUGAGUAACGCGUAGGUAACCUGCCUACUAGCGGGGGAUAACUAUUGGAAACGAUAGCUAAUACCGCAUAACAGUGUUUAACACAUGUUAGAUGCUUGAAAGAUGCAAUUGCAUCACUAGUAGAUGGACCUGCGUUGUAUUAGCUAGUUGGUGAGGUAACGGCUCACCAAGGCGACGAUACAUAGCCGACCUGAGAGGGUGAUCGGCCACACUGGGACUGAGACACGGCCCAGACUCCUACGGGAGGCAGCAGUAGGGAAUCUUCGGCAAUGGGGGCAACCCUGACCGAGCAACGCCGCGUGAGUGAAGAAGGUUUUCGGAUCGUAAAGCUCUGUUGUAAGAGAAGAACGUGUGUGAGAGUGGAAAGUUCACACAGUGACGGUAACUUACCAGAAAGGGACGGCUAACUACGUGCCAGCCGCCGCCGUAA
Molecule: ribosomal RNA, 513 nt
Filed under: uncultured bacterium
Lineage: Bacteria
Description: partial 16S ribosomal RNA
Rfam family: Bacterial small subunit ribosomal RNA
Source: RNAcentral